UACGUAGGGGGCGAGCGUUGUCCGGAUUUAUUGGGCGUAAAGAGCGUGUAGGCGGCCAGGUAGGUCUGCUGUGAAAACUCGAGGCUCAACCUCGAGACGUCGGCGGAAACCAUCUGGCUAGAGUCCGGAAGAGGAGAGUGGAAUUCCUGGUGUAGCGGUGAAAUGCGCAGAUAUCAGGAGGAACACCAAUGGCGAAGGCAGCUCGCUGGGACGGUACUGACGCUGAGACGCGAAAGCGUGGGGAGCAAACAGG
This 253-nucleotide ribosomal RNA is filed under the name uncultured bacterium. Its description in RNAcentral is "partial 16S ribosomal RNA". It matches the Rfam family "Bacterial small subunit ribosomal RNA", at positions 524 to 776 of the family's 1533-position model. The record is from RNAcentral.